UAAUUGAUAACCUAAGAGAGAAAGAUA
Molecule: non-coding RNA, 27 nt
Filed under: Rattus norvegicus (Norway rat)
Lineage: Eukaryota; Metazoa; Chordata; Mammalia; Rodentia; Muridae
Source: RNAcentral